Physella acuta is the source of this 671-nucleotide long non-coding RNA. RefSeq lists it as uncharacterized. NCBI's taxonomy places the organism in Eukaryota, Metazoa, Mollusca, Gastropoda, Physidae. The record is from RefSeq and is a predicted model, not a curated record.
CAAACGUGUGAGCAGUAACACUGAAAUUUGUGCUGUCAAGAUAACCAUGGUGAUAAAGGAGGUUAUCGUUCUUGGACUGGUACUUGCCCUUGUUGCUUCUGAAUCGUACUUCCCGGAUUCGAUUUGCAGGACGCGUUGUGAUGUGGAUCUACGCAUUUUAAAUAGGUGUUUUCAGGAUAAAAAGGCAUGCAAGAAACUAAACCAGAGUGCGUUGAAGGAAGCCUGCUACAAGAAAUGCACGAACAGCUAUGACGUGUGCUCCCAGAAAACAUGCCAUGGAAAAAGCAACUGCUUUAGCAAUUGCCUCAACAAGCAACUCCAGUGUUUAAACGCCAAGAAGAAAACCCCUAACGACAUAAUAAUAAUAGAUUGAAGGAAACAAAAUGAAGAAUUCGACACUUAAGCCAUUUAAUUUGCAUGAUUGUAUAAUUUACAUAUAAAGCUACAAUUUUAAAUAAGUAAUAACUGCAUGCAUCGAAAUAACACCAGGGUAUGAUACCCAAGCCAAAUCCCAGUUUGGAAAUCGGUACAUUGAUUUGAUUUAAAAAUAAUUAGAUUAAGACUUUUAAACAAAGUAAUGAAAUUUUAUUUAGAGAAACCACCAGCUUUGUACUUUCAGACCGUAACACUUUUGUUUUUAAAGAUUAAUAUAUUGUCUAAAUUUCAGUGCU